CACCGAGGAGGAGGAGCAGCGGACCAAGAGGUGCGAUUGUUUCUUCUCAGUAGACACAGCUAAAGUUGUGAAUCUGCUGCUGGGAAACAACAGCACCGGAUGGAAAAGUUCAACAAAAUGGAAGAAUUCAAGUACCAUCUCAGCUGCGGUUCGAUUGUUGCUGCAGAGAAAGGCCUCUGACUCGCCACUUUGGUUUGGGGCAAAAAAGACUCACUGUCCAGUCUG
Molecule: long non-coding RNA, 225 nt
Organism: Hippoglossus stenolepis (Pacific halibut)
Lineage: Eukaryota; Metazoa; Chordata; Actinopteri; Pleuronectiformes; Pleuronectidae
Exons: 3
Source: RefSeq, a predicted model, not a curated record